UUUCCUCCUUACAGGAUAUAUAUAUACCAAUCAACGGUCCUGUGAUAUCGAGCUUCAGUUGAUGCAGAGGUGGUGAAAACAUCUUGUCUUCUUCAAAGAGGUUGCAAGUUGCAAAAGUUUGUCUUGCCCUUGCUGUGUUGUUGCUUCCUUCUCUGGUGGAGUACACAAGAGAAGUUUGCAGAUAUAGGCAGCUCCUUUCAGCUCUUCUAUGUCCAGGGAUUUGGACU
Molecule: long non-coding RNA, 227 nt
Filed under: Sorghum bicolor (sorghum)
Lineage: Eukaryota; Viridiplantae; Streptophyta; Magnoliopsida; Poales; Poaceae
Description: long non-coding RNA (SBIC_LNC003481)
Source: RNAcentral